RNAcentral lists this ribosomal RNA (157 nucleotides) under Ilyonectria destructans. RNAcentral's name for it is "5.8S ribosomal RNA". It matches the Rfam family "5.8S ribosomal RNA". From Rfam's summary of the family: 5.8S ribosomal RNA (5.8S rRNA) is a component of the large subunit of the eukaryotic ribosome. It is transcribed by RNA polymerase I as part of the 45S precursor that also contains 18S and 28S rRNA. The record is from RNAcentral. Lineage: Eukaryota; Fungi; Ascomycota; Sordariomycetes; Hypocreales; Nectriaceae.
CAACGGAUCUCUUGGUUCUGGCAUCGAUGAAGAACGCAGCGAAAUGCGAUAAGUAAUGUGAAUUGCAGAAUUCAGUGAAUCAUCGAAUCUUUGAACGCACAUUGCGCCCGCCAGUAUUCUGGCGGGCAUGCCUGUUCGAGCGUCAUUUCAACCCUCA